GACGAACGCUGGCGGCGUGCUUAACACAUGCAAGUCGAACGUGAUUUUUGUGGAAAUUCUUUCGGGAAUGGGAAUGAAAUGAAAGUGGCGAACGGGUGAGUAACACGUGAGCAACCUACCUUACACAGGGGGAUAGCCGUUGGAAACGACGAUUAAUACCGCAUGAGACCACAGAAUCGCAUGAUAUAGGGGUCAAAGAUUUAUCGGUGUAAGAAGGGCUCGCGUCUGAUUAGCUAGUUGGAAGGGUAAAGGCCUACCAAGGCGACGAUCAGUAGCCGGUCUGAGAGGAUGAACGGCCACAUUGGAACUGAGACACGGUCCAAACUCCUACGGGAGGCAGCAGUGGGGAAUAUUGCACAAUGGGGGGAACCCUGAUGCAGCGACGCCGCGUGAGCGAAGAAGGUUUGCGAAUCGUAAAGCUCUGUCCUAUGAGAAGAUAAUGACGGGAUCAUAGGAGGAAGCCCCGGCUAAAUACG
RNAcentral lists this ribosomal RNA (476 nucleotides) under uncultured bacterium. RNAcentral describes it as "partial 16S ribosomal RNA". It matches the Rfam family "Bacterial small subunit ribosomal RNA", at positions 28 to 505 of the family's 1533-position model. The record is from RNAcentral.